RNAcentral lists this ribosomal RNA (927 nucleotides) under Listeria monocytogenes. RNAcentral describes it as "partial 23S ribosomal RNA". It matches the Rfam family "Bacterial large subunit ribosomal RNA", at positions 283 to 1204 of the family's 2925-position model. The record is from RNAcentral. Lineage: Bacteria; Bacillati; Bacillota; Bacilli; Caryophanales; Listeriaceae.
GCUUGCUUCUUGGGGUUGUAGGACACUCUAUACGGAGUUACAAAAGAAAGUUAUAAAUGAAGCGGUCUGGAAAGGCCCGCCAAAGACGGUAACAGCCCGGUAGUUGAAAUGGCUUUCCCUCCAGAGUGGAUCCUGAGUACGGCGGAACACGUGAAAUUCCGUCGGAAUCCGGGAGGACCAUCUCCCAAGGCUAAAUACUCCCUAGUGACCGAUAGUGAACCAGUACCGUGAGGGAAAGGUGAAAAGCACCCCGGAAGGGGAGUGAAACAGUUCCUGAAACCGUGUGCCUACAAGUAGUUAGAGCCCGUUAAUGGGUGAUAGCGUGCCUUUUGUAGAAUGAACCGGCGAGUUACGAUUUGUUGCAAGGUUAAGCGGAAAAAGCGGAGCCGUAGCGAAAGCGAGUCUGAAUAGGGCGCAUAAGUAACAGGUCGUAGACCCGAAACCAGGUGAUCUACCCAUGUCCAGGAUGAAGGUAAGGUAAUACUUACUGGAGGUCCGAACCCACGCACGUUGAAAAGUGCGGGGAUGAGGUGUGGGUAGCGGAGAAAUUCCAAUCGAACUUGGAGAUAGCUGGUUCUCUCCGAAAUAGCUUUAGGGCUAGCCUCGAGGUAAAGAGUCAUGGAGGUAGAGCACUGUUUGGACUAGGGGCCCUUCUCGGGUUACCGAAUUCAGAUAAACUCCGAAUGCCAUGUACUUAUACUCGGGAGUCAGACUGCGAGUGAUAAGAUCCGUAGUCGAAAGGGAAACAGCCCAGACCACCAGUUAAGGUCCCCAAAUAUAUGUUAAGUGGAAAAGGAUGUGGGGUUGCUUAGACAACCAGGAUGUUGGCUUAGAAGCAGCCACCAUUGAAAGAGUGCGUAAUAGCUCACUGGUCGAGUGACCCCGCGCCGAAAAUGUACCGGGGCUAAACAUAUUACCGAAACUGUG